UACGUAGGGGGCAAGCGUUGUCCGGAUUCAUUGGGCGUAAAGAGCUCGUAGGCGGCUUGGCAAGUCGGGUGUGAAAACUUCAGGCUCAACCUGGGGCGGCCACUCGAUACUGCCAUGGCUAGAGUCCGGUAGGGGACCACGGAAUUCCUGGUGUAGCGGUGAAAUGCGCAGAUAUCAGGAGGAACACCGGUGGCGAAGGCGGUGGUCUGGGCCGGAACUGACGCUGAGGAGCGAAAGCGUGGGGAGCGAACAGG
RNAcentral lists this ribosomal RNA (254 nucleotides) under uncultured bacterium. RNAcentral describes it as "partial 16S ribosomal RNA". It matches the Rfam family "Bacterial small subunit ribosomal RNA", at positions 524 to 776 of the family's 1533-position model. The record is from RNAcentral.